This 318-nucleotide ribosomal RNA is filed under the name Diomus sp. EL-2009. Its description in RNAcentral is "partial 12S ribosomal RNA". The record is from RNAcentral. Lineage: Eukaryota; Metazoa; Arthropoda; Insecta; Coleoptera; Coccinellidae.
UUAGAUACCCUAUUAUUGAAGAUAAUUUUUAAAGCUUAAUUAUUAAUAGAUAUAUUCUUAAAAUUUAAAAAAUAUGGCGGUAUUUUAGACUUUUCAGAGGAACCUGUUUUUUAAUUGAUAAUCCACGAUCAAAUUAACUUAAAUUAGAAAUUUAUAUAUCGUUGUAAUAAAUAUUUUUUUAAAAUAAAAUAUUUAAAAUAUUUUUUUAAUAAUAAUUCAAAUCAAGAUGUAGUUUAUAUUUAAGAUUUAAUGGGUUACAAUAAAUUUAAUUUUUAGUUUAUAAAUUUAUAAUUUAUAAUAAAUUGGAUUUGAAAGUAA